UGGAAGUGAAACCAGAGCAUGAAUUUAUUGGACUUCCCGUGAUUCCUAUUCAAUUUGAGGAGUUAUUUAAGUUAUACAAUCGACUGUCCCUGGACAAACAACUCAUUACUUCCUCUGUCUGUACGUCUCUAGGUCAGUUCAAUCAUUGCAUGUAUAUCUAAUUAUCCUCACUAUAUGUAUUAUGCAGAUGGAAGAUCGUCGAAUUAAAAAAA
Molecule: long non-coding RNA, 212 nt
Filed under: Hordeum vulgare
Lineage: Eukaryota; Viridiplantae; Streptophyta; Magnoliopsida; Poales; Poaceae
Description: long non-coding RNA (HVUL_LNC018783)
Source: RNAcentral